Molecule: ribosomal RNA, 589 nt
Filed under: uncultured Bacillus sp.
Lineage: Bacteria; Bacillati; Bacillota; Bacilli; Caryophanales; Bacillaceae
Description: bacterial SSU rRNA
Rfam family: Bacterial small subunit ribosomal RNA
Source: RNAcentral
CAUACGGGAGGCAGCAGUAGGGAAUCUUCCGCAAUGGAUGAAAGUCUGACGGAGCAACGCUGCGUGAGUGAUGAAGGCUUUCGGGUCGUAAAACUUUGUUGUUAGGGAAGAACAAGUACAAGAGUAACUGCUUGUACCUUGACGGUACCUCACCAGAAAGCCAUGGCUAACUACGUGCCAGCAGCCGCGGUAAUACGUAGGUGGCAAGCGUUAUCCGGAAUUAUUGGGCGUAAAGCGCGCGCAGGCGGUUUGUUAAGUCUGAUGUGAAAGCCCACGGCUCAACCGUGGAGGGUCAUUGGAAACUGGGGAACUUGAGUGCAGAAGAGAAAAGCGGAAUUCCACGUGUAGCGGUGAAAUGCGUAGAGAUGUGGAGGAACACCAGUGGCGAAGGCGGCUUUUUGGUCUGUAACUGACGGUGAGGCGCGAAAGCGUGGGGAGCAAACAGGAUUAGAUACCCUGGUAGUCCACGCCGUAAACGAUGAGUGCUAAGUGUUAGAGGGUCUCCGCCCUUCAGUGCUGCAGCUAACGCAUUAAGCACUCCCCCUGGGGAGUACGGUCGCAAGAAUGAAACUCAAAUGAAUUGACGGGG